GGAGUCUGGGCCGUGUCUCAGUCCCAAUGUGGCCGUUCAUCCUCUCAGAUCGGCUACUGAUCGUCGCCUUGGUGGGCCGUUAUCUCACCAACUAGCUAAUCAGACGCGGGUCCAUCUUGUACCACCGGAGUUUUUCACACUGCAUCAUGCGAUGCUGUGCGCUUAUGCGGUAUUACCAGCCGUUUCCAGCUGCUAUCCCCCUGUGCAAGGCAGGUUAUCCACGCGUUACUCACCCGUCCGCCACUAAGUUAAAGAUCCAUCCGAAAAUUUCUCUUUAACCCCGUUCGACUUGCAUGUGUUAGGCACGCCGCCAGCGUUCAUC
Molecule: ribosomal RNA, 322 nt
Filed under: uncultured Lachnospiraceae bacterium
Lineage: Bacteria; Bacillati; Bacillota; Clostridia; Lachnospirales; Lachnospiraceae
Description: partial 16S ribosomal RNA
Source: RNAcentral